AGUGAACGCUGGCGGCGUGCUUAACACAUGCAAGUCGAACGAGAACGGAAUAUAGCUUGCUAUAUUUGUCAGCUAAGUGGCGCACGGGAGAGUAAUGUAUAGAUAACCUGCCCUUAAGAAAGGAAUAACAGUUGGAAACGACUGCUAAUGCCCUAUAUGCCUUUAAUACAUAAGUAUGCAAGGGAAACGCUUUAGUGCUUAAGGAUGGGUCUGUAUGGUAUCAGCUUGUUGGUGAGGUAAUGGCUCAUCAAGGCUAUGACGCCUAACUGGUUUGACAGGAUGAUCAGUCACACUGGAACUGAGACACGGUCCAGACUCCUACGAGAGGCAGCAGUAGGGAAUAUUGCACAAUCACGAAAGUCUGAUGCAGCAACGCCGCAUGGUGGAUGACACAUUUCGGUGCGUAAACUCCUUUUAUAUAGGAAGAUAAUGACGGUACUAUAUGAAUAAGCACCGGCUAACUCCGUGCCAGCCGCCGCGGUAA
Molecule: ribosomal RNA, 484 nt
Filed under: uncultured bacterium
Lineage: Bacteria
Description: partial 16S ribosomal RNA
Rfam family: Bacterial small subunit ribosomal RNA
Source: RNAcentral